AACAGGAUUAGAUACCCUGGUAGUCCACGCCGUAAACGAUGUCGACUUGGAGGUUGUUCCCUUGAGGAGUGGCUUCCGGAGCUAACGCGUUAAGUCGACCGCCUGGGGAGUACGGCCGCAAGGUUAAAACUCAAAUGAAUUGACGGGGGCCCGCACAAGCGGUGGAGCAUGUGGUUUAAUUCGAUGCAACGCGAAGAACCUUACCUACUCUUGACAUCCAGCGAACUUAGCAGAGAUGCUUUGGCGCCUUCGGGAACGCUGAGACAGGUGCUGCAUGGCUGUCGUCAGCUCGUGUUGUGAAAUGUUGGGUUAAGUCCCGCAACGAGCGCAACCCUUAUCCUUUGUUGCCAGCGAUUCGGUCGGGAACUCAAAGGAGACUGCCGGUGAUAAACCGGAGGAAGGUGGGGAUGACGUCAAGUCAUCAUGGCCCUUACGAGUAGGGCUACACACGUGCUACAAUGGCGCAUACAAAGAGAAGCGACCUCGCGAGAGCAAGCGGACCUCACAAAGUGCGUCGUAGUCCGGAUCGGAGUCUGCAACUCGACUCCGUGAAGUCGGAAUCGCUAGUAAUCGUGGAUCAGAAUGCCACGGUGAAUACGUUCCCGGGCCUUGUACACACCGCCCGUCACACCAUGGGAGUGGGUUGCAAAAGAAGUAGGUAGCUUAACCUUCGGGAGGGCGCUUACCACUUUGUGAUUCAUGACUGGGGGUGAAGUCGUAACAAGGUAACC
RNAcentral lists this ribosomal RNA (731 nucleotides) under uncultured bacterium. RNAcentral's name for it is "bacterial SSU rRNA". It matches the Rfam family "Bacterial small subunit ribosomal RNA", at positions 771 to 1501 of the family's 1533-position model. The record is from RNAcentral.